This 229-nucleotide long non-coding RNA is filed under the name Prunus persica (peach). RNAcentral's name for it is "long non-coding RNA (PPER_LNC006194)". Lineage: Eukaryota; Viridiplantae; Streptophyta; Magnoliopsida; Rosales; Rosaceae. The record is from RNAcentral.
GUACGAAGUUUGUUCUGAAAUGGAGUGGUUGGUGUAUCGCAUAGUUCUAGAGAUUGGAUUUCAUUCAAAACCCACCAAACGACUCCUCCCACCAUAUUCUGAUGUUCCCUAAGCUUCGGACUCAAUCCGAUAUCGAUUGCUCUAUGAAAUCGGACAAUUCAUAUUCAUACAAAGUUCGUUCUAAAUUGGACUGGUUAGGGUAUUGCAUAGGUUUCAACACUCACCAAAU